Molecule: non-coding RNA, 518 nt
Organism: Lonchura striata (white-rumped munia)
Lineage: Eukaryota; Metazoa; Chordata; Aves; Passeriformes; Estrildidae
Source: the annotation of a RefSeq genome assembly
GUGUCUGUGCUGUCACCGGGGGCAGGUGGCAGGAAGGAGGGGACCUUCUCUAUGGAUUUCCAGUGGUUCCUUGUGGCCAUGGUGCUCCCUGUGGGCUGGGCCCUUCAGCAAUCCCCAGAUACAAUUAUCCGGGUGGGAGACACCGUGACUCUGGAAUGUUCUGCAUCAGGGAAAGAUUUCGUAAACAUCUACUGGUACAAGUUACCCAUGGAGAAGGAUGCCAGUAUGCAAUUGGUUGUAUAUUCAGUGGAAGGUGGCAAAGCAGAUAUUCAGAAGGAAUUCCAAAAUCGUUUCCAGAGUAAUGGGACUCGGAACAACCAUUUAUCUGUGAAGAUACAGCAUGCCCAACUCAAUGACACUGGAACAUAUUUCUGUGCUGAAAGUAAUCCACAGUGACUCAAAGACAGGUGCAGCAUAGCACAAAGGUUUUCAGGCAAACAGGGAUCUGCCACCAGCACACCCUAAGCCCUGUGUUUGACAGAACCCCAUUUUCUUACAUGCCCUUUUUCUCUUGAGGA